This 613-nucleotide ribosomal RNA is filed under the name uncultured bacterium. Its description in RNAcentral is "bacterial SSU rRNA". It matches the Rfam family "Bacterial small subunit ribosomal RNA", at positions 338 to 954 of the family's 1533-position model. The record is from RNAcentral.
CCUACGGGAGGCAGCAGUAAGGAAUAUUGGACAAUGCUCGCAAGAGUGAUCCAGCCAUGCCGCGUGCAGGAAGAAUGCCCUAUGGGUAGUAAACUGCUUUUGAACUAGAGAAAAUCCCAGUACGUGUACUGGGCUGAUAGUAUAGUUAGAAUAAGCAUCGGCUAACUUCGUGCCAGCAGCCGCGGUAAGACGAAGGAUGCAAGCGUUAUCCGGAUUCAUUGGGUUUAAAGGGAGCGUAGGUGGACUGAUAAGUCAGUGGUGAAAUCUCCGAGCUUAACUCGGAAAUUGCCAUUGAUACUGUUGGUCUUGAGUACAGUUGCUGUGGGCGGAAUAUGACAUGUAGUGGUGAAAUACAUAGAGAUGUCAUAGAACACCGAUUGCGAAGGCAGCUCACAAAGCUGUAACUGACACUGAGGCUCGAAAGUGCGGGGAUCAAACAGGAUUAGAUACCCUGGUAGUCCGCACCGUAAACGAUGAUUACUCGCUGCUAGGGGGCAACCUUUAGUGGCUUAGCGAAAGCGAUAAGUAAUCCACCUGGGAGUACGCCGGCAACGGUGAAACUCGAAAGGAAUUGACGGCGNGAGAGNGCGACGGACGACGACGAGGGAGGAGG